Mytilus trossulus (common blue mussel) is the source of this 965-nucleotide long non-coding RNA. RefSeq lists it as uncharacterized. The record is from RefSeq and is a predicted model, not a curated record. The transcript has 3 exons. Lineage: Eukaryota; Metazoa; Mollusca; Bivalvia; Mytilida; Mytilidae.
GUAUGACCUUGAAGAGUAAGCAAUGUAUUAAGUAUAUUUGGGGUUACCAAAGAGUAUGGUAAGAACCUCAUCUUAAAUUAUACUUGAGUUCUUACAAAGAUGCAUAGAGUUCUUACGAAGAUGUAUAGGUAUGCAGUAUUUAUUAUUUUUGUCUCUGUGUAUUUUUGUCAAUGAGGUAAAACCACAGAACAAAUCAAUCAGAAGUAUUAACUGGUGUAAUUUGAGAACACCCUGGAACAAGAGAAAUAUCCUACCUCACAAAAUUUAACAUGAGACAUCUUGUUUUCACCUUUUUUCAAGGAAGCAGCUCACACAGUGUAAUCAUGAAGGUAUCCAUGUCCUGGAACAUCUGGUAAUAGCAUAUCUCUAAUAGUAUUUUUACUACUAUCCUCAAAAUUCAAACAAAACAGUCAGAUAUUUUGAUCAACAAGAGGUACAAUCUCAAACCAUGUGGUGAAAAAAGACAACACAUAACCAAAAAAAGUGACGGAAAAUUGUCUACACUGACAACAAAAUAUUAUACAGCAACAACCCAUUCAAAGACCUGAGAGAUUCUCAAGCACCAAUUCAACCAAAGACCAGGGAUGAACUCCAGCACUGAGCACCAACCAAAACAAAGAACAGACAUGAACUAGGGCAAAAAGCACCAACCCAACCAAAGACCUAAGAGGUUUUCAGGCACCAUGCAACCAACUAAACUAAAUAGCCAGGGAUGAUCUCAGACACCAUGCACCAACCUUUCCAAAGAUCAGGGAUGCUUUCAGGCACAACAACCUUACCAAAGACCAGGAAUGAUCUGACACCAAGCACCAACCAAAACAAAAAAAGGGUGAUCUCAGACACCACAGAAUGUUAGCAAGUAUUUGAUAUGUUAACUUAUCUACUACUUGUGUAAGUAAAAUGGGUUUUUUUCAUUCUGUGCUGCAUUUAUUCUAUCAAAAAUUGUCAAAAUGCAACAUGAAAUU